AGCGGCGGACGGGUGAGUAACGCGUGGGUAACCUGCCCUGUACAAACGGAUAAUAUACCGAAAGGUAUGCUAAUACGAGAUAAUAUGCUUUUAUCGCAUGGUAGAAGUAUCAAAGCUUUUGCGGUACAGGAUGGACCCGCGUCUGAUUAGCUAGUUGGUAAGGUAACGGCUUACCAAGGCGACGAUCAGUAGCCGACCUGAGAGGGUGAUCGGCCACAUUGGAACUGAGACACGGUCCAAACUCCUACGGGAGGCAGCAGUGGGGAAUAUUGCACAAUGGGCGAAAGCCUGAUGCAGCAACGCCGCGUGAGCGAUGAAGGCCUUCGGGUCGUAAAGUUCUGUCCUCAAGGAAGAUAAUGACGGUACUUGAGGAGGAAGCCCCGGCUAACUACGUGCCAGCAGCCGCGGUAAUACGUAGGGGGCUAGCGUUAUCCGGAUUUACUGGGCGUAAAGGGUGCGUAGGUGGUUUCUUAAGUCAGAGGUGAAAGGCUACGGCUCAACCGUAGUAAGCCUUUGAAACUGGGAAACUUGAGUGCAGGAGAGGAGAGUGGAACUCCUAGUGUAGCGGUGAAAUGCGUAGAUAUUAGGAGGAACACCAGUUGCGAAGGCGGCUCUCUGGACUGUAACUGACACUGAGGCACGAAAGCGUGGGGAGCAAACAGGAUUAGAUACCCUGGUAGUCCACGCCGUAAACGAUGAGUACUAGCUGU
Molecule: ribosomal RNA, 710 nt
Filed under: uncultured bacterium
Lineage: Bacteria
Description: bacterial SSU rRNA
Rfam family: Bacterial small subunit ribosomal RNA
Source: RNAcentral